This is a non-coding RNA of Schistosoma mansoni, 48 nucleotides long. NCBI's taxonomy places the organism in Eukaryota, Metazoa, Platyhelminthes, Trematoda, Strigeidida, Schistosomatidae. The record is from Rfam.
AUCCAGUAGACGAGUCCCAAAUAGGACGAAGUGGCGUGCGUUCUGGAU